AAAUGUAUUUAAAUGUCUGACUAAUACCUCUUUUGCUCCAAAGUUGAAUGUCUGACACACAGGCCGCGCUUGACUAAAAGUCCUUUCCAGCGGCAUGGGAGCUCGUCUCUGAGGACUCCUUUAAGACGCGCUUAAGCACGAACCGCCUGGCUGCCUGAACGCAUCACGGCCGGGCUUCGCACCCCAACAGUCCUCCAAACACCACUUUUGCUUAUGAAAUCCAAAAAGUGGUUCAGAUGAUUUCCAGUUCCUGCAAAGGUCCUGUCCUGCAUGCUCACACACACAUGCAUGCACACACACACAAAUAACACACACAUACAC
Molecule: long non-coding RNA, 321 nt
Organism: Hippocampus comes (tiger tail seahorse)
Lineage: Eukaryota; Metazoa; Chordata; Actinopteri; Syngnathiformes; Syngnathidae
Exons: 2
Source: RefSeq, a predicted model, not a curated record